UAUAAGAUGAUAAAACAUGAAUAAUCACUGGUCGUCUGUUUUAUUUGAAAAUUUUUUAUAAUUAGCAUUUUUGUUAUUAUAAGAUGAUAAAACAUGAAUAAUACUUUACUCGUGACUUAUGUUUUUAAAUUUUUUCAAAAAAUUUUAAAAUAAGACGAAUGGUCAAAGUUAGGCACUGAAAACCAUGACUGCACUUAUU
This 199-nucleotide microRNA precursor is filed under the name Oryza sativa Japonica Group (Japanese rice). RNAcentral describes it as "MIR812 microRNA precursor family". It matches the Rfam family "MIR812 microRNA precursor family", at positions 23 to 205 of the family's 205-position model. Lineage: Eukaryota; Viridiplantae; Streptophyta; Magnoliopsida; Poales; Poaceae. The record is from Rfam by way of RNAcentral.